AACCUAUUUUAUUCUGGUAGAAGGUAGUGUUUAAGGUAAGACUCUCAUAGUUGUAAUUUUUGGCUUUUGUUGGGGGUUGAUGUAUUCUCCUAUUACUAGAGAGGAAAAUUUUAACAAUUACAGCAAUGUAUAUUUAGUUACUUUAAAGAGAUUAAAGCUCAGUGCCAGCAUUCGCGGUUAAACUGAUUUUUUUGGACUCCUUUAUAGCUUUAGUGUGGUUGAGUAAUAACGUAUUUCUUUUGUUUAAAUAUGUUAAGAAGGUUUUGUAGCUUAUUAUUCAAAUUUURUGUUUUAUUUAAGACAGGGAUUAGAGACCCCUUUAUUAGAAAUUUGAGUUUUUUACACUACAGUUUUAACUGAAAGAAAUUGUCGGUUAGUUAUAUUUUUUUGGGGGAGUGUGUGACUUAAAAAGAUGAUCCACUUAAUAAUCUACCAGUUUUAGCUUAGUCAGUGUACAUCCGGUUAUAUGUCUUUAACGUUAAGUUUUAGUGCGUAGAAUUGUUUAAAAUUCAAUCCAGGUCAAUGUGCUGCUGAUAAAUUGGUUGUCAUUCACUACAUUUAUUUUAAUUUAAGGUUUUUAAUAGCUUUUUGUUCAGGACUCAAUUGUAAUGUUAUUUAGUUAGUUGACAUGAACAUGAUUUGAUUAGUGUACACAUUGCCCGUCAACUUCGAUGAGAAUUGAAGUAAGUCGUAACAAGGUAGCUUUAGGGGAAUCUGAAGCUAGUUUAAU
Molecule: ribosomal RNA, 730 nt
Filed under: Eudiplozoon nipponicum
Lineage: Eukaryota; Metazoa; Platyhelminthes; Monogenea; Mazocraeidea; Diplozoidae
Description: 12S ribosomal RNA
Source: RNAcentral